GCCUUUGGAGUCAGACUGGAACUACAGCAUUGACUCUUCCGGAACUCCAGCUUACUGACUACAGAUCUUGGAACUUUUCAGCUUCCACAACCAUAAGGUCAUGGGAAGAUAUGCAAGGAAGAAGUCCAUGUGAAGACGGAGGCAGAGAUGAGAGUGAUUUACAAGUAUCUACAAGCCCAGGAACACCAAGGAUUGCCAGCAACCACCAGCAGCUAGGAGAGAAUGCAUAUAAUGGUGAAUGUAACUUCUGAAGGCCUUCCUUACUGAAGAUAAGAAAAUCUGGACCAAAAAAAUCAAACAAAUAAAGAUCUACUUGAAGAUAUUGAAGAAUUGACACUAAAGUAAAUAACUACUGGGCCAUUCUUCUAAGGAGGAUAAGGGGUUUCACCUUGUUGCCCAAGCUGGUCUUGAAGUUCUGGGCUCAAGCGAUCUGCCUGCAUUAGCCUCCUAAAGUUCUGGGAUUACCAACAUGAGCUACCAUGCCUGGGUCAAAGCCAUUCUCUGAGCUGAAGAAAAACUACAAAAGAUAGAAACUCAGAUGUGCAGGAAAGAAUAUAGACACCAAAAAAGACCAUAUCAUAUUUGCUCCAGUACUUCCAGCAAGGAAAUUGUACACGUUUGAGAUGACUGUUGUAACUUACCCUUCUGCCUGGUCACAGGAAAUGGUGUCAUUUCUUAAAAAGGAGUGCAAUUUUGACCAAUUACUUUUUACUGGAAGAACUUCAAGAAUAGCUAUGAAGCAUAUGAAGAGGUCUUAUUCCGAGUGAUCCUGAUGCUAGUCAAGGAAGGGAAUGACUGGUUAGAAUCAAUGCCCACACCUGAGAAUUGUGCUUGAGAUAGAUUCUCCUGAAGACACAGGGCUUCACAGGAAGGAGAGAUAAUUAUUGGAUGGAAAACAGAACUGAGAAGAGAAAUCACUUGUGUCCCAGCACCAUUUGUUGAAAAGGAUAUUCUUUCCCUGUUGAAAUAAUGUCUUGGCACCCAAACUGAAAAUGAAUUCACCUCAGAAGAGAUCAGCAUUUGAAUCAGUAGACUGAGUAGCUCUCACCAGUAUGGGCAAGUGUCAUCUAAUCCCUUGAGGCCUCACCUAGAGAACAAGAAGGGAGAGAAAGAAUGAAUUUGCUCUCUCUUCUUGAGCUGGGACAUCCAUCUUCUGCCCAUCCUCUGCUCACCUUCUGCUCCUAGUUCUUGAUUCUUGGACAUAUGUCAUCCCCACUCAAUUGUCGAGCCUUCGACCUUGGACUGGAAAUUCCAACACUGAUCAGUUCUUCUGGAUCUCUGGCCUUCAGAUUUGGACUGAAUUACACCAACAGCUUUCCUGGCUGUCUAGCAUGCAGAUAGCAUAUUGUGGGAAUUAGCCUCCAUAACCGUGAAAACCAGUUUCCAUAACAAAUCACAUCUUCUCCAUCUCUAUAUAUCCUAUUAGUCCUCUUUCUCUGGAGAACCGUGACUAAUACGAGAUCUCAAGCGAGAAUAUGCAUUUCUGUCUUGCCUAUUUAAUUAAGUUUUGGGGAAAAAAAUCACAUGGAGUAAUGCACAGAAAUCUUGUUAUGAGAUUGCCAAAAGUUCCAUUUAUCACCUACUCCAUCUCUUAUCCUAUAGAUAUUUUAUGAUUUUCACAACUUUGUAAAACAC
Long non-coding RNA from Homo sapiens (human), 1635 nucleotides. Ensembl annotates it as long intergenic non-protein coding RNA 1322. NCBI's taxonomy places the organism in Eukaryota, Metazoa, Chordata, Mammalia, Primates, Hominidae. The record is from Ensembl.